Oryctolagus cuniculus (rabbit) is the source of this 298-nucleotide unclassified non-coding RNA. It matches the Rfam family "Metazoan signal recognition particle RNA". From Rfam's summary of the family: The signal recognition particle (SRP) is a universally conserved ribonucleoprotein. It is involved in the co-translational targeting of proteins to membranes. NCBI's taxonomy places the organism in Eukaryota, Metazoa, Chordata, Mammalia, Lagomorpha, Leporidae. The record is from Ensembl.
GCCGGGUGCAGUGGCGCGCGCCUGUAGUCCCAGCUACUUGGGAGGCUGAGGCUGGAGGAUCAUUUGAGUCCAAGGAGUUCUGGGCUGUCAUGCGCUAUGCCGAUCGGGUGUCCGCACUAAGUUUGGCAUCAACAUGGUGACCUCCUGGGAGCGGGGGACCACCAGGUUGCCUAAGGAGGGGUGAACCGGCUCAGGUUGGAAACGGAGCAGGUCAAAUACAUAAAUAAAUCAAUCUUAAAAAAAAAAAAAAAAAGAAUGACAUACUUCGGGCACAUUUUAUUUUAAAAUUUAGCUUCAA